RNA transcript from Myotis lucifugus (little brown bat), 585 nucleotides. It is a transcript of the gene named serine protease inhibitor Kazal-type 9-like, with no coding region annotated. The record is from RefSeq and is a predicted model, not a curated record. NCBI's taxonomy places the organism in Eukaryota, Metazoa, Chordata, Mammalia, Chiroptera, Vespertilionidae. The transcript is spliced from 4 exons.
AAUGAAUGCCACUUGUGCAUUGAGAGCUUAACAAAAAGCAACGGUAAUAACUAUGUGACAGAUUUGUUAUGAAGAUCAAAUUGUGUAACAGAUGUGAAAGCACUCACACUUUUAAGGACAUAAAGAGACAAGGAAAUAAUGCCAGCUUUAUCGGGUCCUAUUAUCUGUUAAACGGUCAUGUAAAUUCAUCUGUCUUUCACAAUAAAAGAACUUCCAUACCCGGCACAUGUUUCUGACCUCCCAGGUUUCUGAUCCUGCAAAUAGGUGUUUCACAAUCAAGGCAGGAACUCUUGACAAUAUAAAAGCAGCAGGCAAGUGGCUGGGCAGACACCAGAAAGUCACUUCUUUUGCCUCCAUCUGACUGCCCUUCGCCUCUUCAGCAGCAUGAGAAUGACAGCCUUUUUCCUGCUCUUGGCCCUGGCACUAAUCUAUGUAGAAUGUGCCCCACCUGGAAAACAGUUUGAUUGUAGUACGUAUAAAAAGUUACCACCAGGAGAAGAGAGAGUGUGUAAUAGACUACAUAAUCCAAUUUGUGGAUCUGAUGGCAAAACUUAUGGCAAUGAUUGCUUCUUUUGUUCUGAAGUU